AACGAACGCUGGCGGCGUGCCUAACACAUGCAAGUCGCACGAGAAAGUUCUUCGGAACGAGUAAAGUGGCGCACGGGUGAGUAAUCCAUAGGAACGUGUCAUUAGGAGGGGAAUAACAACGGGAAACCGUUGCUAAUACCGCAUAAUCUAGUAAUAGCAAAGACGGCCUCCAUUUAUAAGCUGUCACCUAAUGAGCGGCCUAUGUCCCAUUAGCUAGUUGGUGGGGUAAAAGCCUACCAAGGCAACGAUGGGUAGCUGGUCUGAGAGGACGAUCAGCCACACUGGAACUGAGACACGGUCCAGACUCCUACGGGAGGCAGCAGUGGGAAUAUUGCACAAUGGGCGCAAGCCUGAUGCAGCAACGCCGCGUGAGUGAAGAAGGGCCCUUGGUGUAAGACGUCUUCGUACCGAGGGAAGAAGGGUAGUAAGGU
Molecule: ribosomal RNA, 431 nt
Filed under: uncultured bacterium
Lineage: Bacteria
Description: bacterial SSU rRNA
Rfam family: Bacterial small subunit ribosomal RNA
Source: RNAcentral